GCGGCACAGGAUAGCUCUGCGGCUUAUCAGGUUGUAGGGAGGGUAACGGCCUCCCUAGCCUACGACGGGUAUGGGUGUUGGGAGACAUCGCCCAGAGAUGGAUUCUGAGACACGGAUCCAGGUCCUACGGGACGCAGCAGGCGCGAAAACUGCACAAUGUGGGCAACCACGAUGCGGGAAACCCAAGUGCCAGCACUAAGUGUUGGCUGUCCUCAAGUGUUCGUAACUUGGAAGAAAGUGCUGGGUAAGACGGGUGCCGGCCGCCGCGGUAAUACCCGCAGCACAAGUGGUGGUCAUUAUUAUUGGGCCUAAAGCGUCCGUAGCUGGCUUGUUAGAUGCCUGGGUAAAUCGAUGCGCUCAACGCAUCGAAUUCCGGGUAGACCGGCAAGCUCGAGACCGGGAGAGGUGUAGGCUACUCGAGGGGUAGGGGUAAAAUCCUGUAAUCCUUCGGGGAGGACCAGUGGCGAAGGCGCUACACUAGAACGGCUCUGACAGUGAGGGACGAAGCCCUGGGGCGCAAACCGGAUUAGAUACCCGGGUAGUCCAGGGUGUAAACGCUGCAGACUUGGUGUCGGGGAUCCUACGAGGGUUCCCGGUGCCGGAGAGAAGUUGUUGAGUCUGCCGCCUGGGGAGUACGGUCGCAAGACUGAAACUUAAAGGAAUU
Molecule: ribosomal RNA, 664 nt
Filed under: uncultured archaeon
Lineage: Archaea
Description: bacterial SSU rRNA
Rfam family: Archaeal small subunit ribosomal RNA
Source: RNAcentral